Long non-coding RNA from Lolium perenne, 729 nucleotides. RefSeq lists it as uncharacterized. The record is from RefSeq and is a predicted model, not a curated record. Lineage: Eukaryota; Viridiplantae; Streptophyta; Magnoliopsida; Poales; Poaceae.
GCCAGGCCAUUUGUCGCAGGUGCAGGCGCGCCCGCGACAAAAGGCUCCCACGGAAGCCCUGUUUUCCACUAGUGCAAGUCCAGAAACCCACCACCGCCGCCGCCCACCGCCCACGGCCACCAGCACCGCACCGCACCGCACCAACCACCGCCCUUCUCCCCCGGAUCUACAUAGCCAACCCGUCCCCCGCCUACGUGUUUCCCCUCGAUUCGGCGCGCCCCUCACCUCGGCGGCGGAGAGGAAUUGGUAGAUAGACCAUGGUCCGAUGGGUCGCGGCCGUCGCGUCACCCCCGUCGCGCGCGUCACCAGCGCCCGCUCCCCCAUCGCGCGACCAGAGCCGCCGCCGCCCAAGCCCAGCAGGAGCCCGACGACAUGCAGCAGCACCCACCAAACAUCAAGGAGGAGGAGGAGGAGAUGGCUGACAUCGGCGGAGUCAGCGCCAACAACGCCGCCGCCGGCAACGACGACGAGGAGGGCAACACCGCCCCAUUCCCCUAGACGAAAGUUGAAGAUGCUAUCCAUAGAGGCAUAACAGUUCCUAAUCAAGGAAGCCAAAUACCAUGGAGAAACUUUACCGAGUUUGGAUGGAACAAAUGAGUGAUGAGAAGUUAGAGCACUUUAUUUUGUGGAUUUGUUUUAUGAAUUUUGCUGGAUGUAUUCACAUGUGUCCGGAUGUAUAAUUGCAGAGCUAAUAAACAAUAUAUAGACUGGAUGGAUGGGUUACGUCAA